Molecule: ribosomal RNA, 909 nt
Filed under: uncultured bacterium
Lineage: Bacteria
Description: bacterial SSU rRNA
Rfam family: Bacterial small subunit ribosomal RNA
Source: RNAcentral
ACGCUGGCGGCGUGCUUAACACAUGCAAGUCGAACGAUGAAGCCUAGCUUGCUAGGUGGAUUAGUGGCGAACGGGUGAGUAAUACGUGAGUAACCUACCUUUAACUCUGGGAUAAGCCUGGGAAACUGGGUCUAAUACCGGAUACGACCAAUCUCCGCAUGGGGUGUUGGUGGAAAGCGUUAUGUAGUGGUUAUAGAUGGGCUCACGGCCUAUCAGCUUGUUGGUGAGGUAACGGCUCACCAAGGCGACGACGGGUAGCCGGCCUGAGAGGGUGACCGGCCACACUGGGACUGAGACACGGCCCAGACUCCUACGGGAGGCAGCAGUGGGGAAUAUUGCACAAUGGGCGCAAGCCUGAUGCAGCGACGCCGCGUGAGGGAUGACGGCCUUCGGGUUGUAAACCUCUGUUAGCAGGGAAGAAGAGAAAUUGACGGUACCUGCAGAGAAAGCGCCGGCUAACUACGUGCCAGCAGCCGCGGUAAUACGUAGGGCGCGAGCGUUGUCCGGAAUUAUUGGGCGUAAAGAGCUUGUAGGCGGUUUGUCGCGUCUGCUGUGAAAGGCCGGGGCUUAACCCCGUGUAUUGCAGUGGGUACGGGCAGACUAGAGUGCAGUAGGGGAGACUGGAAUUCCUGGUGUAGCGGUGGAAUGCGCAGAUAUCAGGAGGAACACCGAUGGCGAAGGCAGGUCUCUGGGCUGUAACUGACGCUGAGAAGCGAAAGCAUGGGGAGCGAACAGGAUUAGAUACCCUGGUAGUCCAUGCCGUAAACGUUGGGCACUAGGUGUGGGGGACAUUCCACGUUUUCCGCGCCGUAGCUAACGCAUUAAGUGCCCCGCCUGGGGAGUACGGCCGCAAGGCUAAAACUCAAAGAAAUUGACGGGGGCCCGCACAAGCGGCGGAGCAUGCGGAUU